AUUGAACGCUGGCGGCAUGCCUUACACAUGCAAGUCGAACGGCAGCGGGGACUUCGGUCCGCCGGCGAGUGGCGAACGGGUGAGUAAUGUAUCGGAACGUACCAUUCAGUGGGGGAUAACUAUCCGAAAGGAUAGCUAAUACCGCAUAGUCUGUGAGCAGGAAAGCAGGGGAUCGCAAGACCUUGCGCUGAUUGAGCGGCCGAUAUCAGAUUAGCUAGUUGGUGAGGUAACGGCUCACCAAGGCUACGAUCAGUAGCGGGUCUGAGAGGAUGAUCCGCCACACUGGGACUGAGACACGGCCCAGACUCCUACGGGAGGCAGCAGUGGGGAAUUUUGGACAAUGGGCGCAAGCCUGAUCCAGCCAUGCCGCGUGAGUGAAGAAGGCCUUCGGGUUGUAAAGCUCUUUCGGCCGGGAAGAAAUCGCAUCAGCUAAUACCUGGUGUGGAUGACGGUACCGGAAUAAGAAGCACCGGCUAACUACGUGCCAGCCGCCGCAGUAA
This 500-nucleotide ribosomal RNA is filed under the name uncultured bacterium. RNAcentral's name for it is "partial 16S ribosomal RNA". It matches the Rfam family "Bacterial small subunit ribosomal RNA", at positions 30 to 523 of the family's 1533-position model. The record is from RNAcentral.